This is a small nucleolar RNA of Lactuca sativa (garden lettuce), 107 nucleotides long. Lineage: Eukaryota; Viridiplantae; Streptophyta; Magnoliopsida; Asterales; Asteraceae. The record is from RefSeq and is a predicted model, not a curated record.
AGAUCAUUUUGGGGAAAAUUCCUUAGUAACCCAUUAUACCGCUCCCAUGCUUCAUAUAAAGAUUCCCCCACAUGUUACUCGAAAUUGGCUAUGAAUUUCUUGAGUUU